AAAAAGGGCUUCUGUCGUGAGUGGCACACGUAGGGCGGCUCUGUUUGCUCUUCGUGCGGAAUCGACAUCAAGAGAUUUCGGAAGCAUAAUUUUUUGAUACUGAGGCAGCUGGUGAUCGUUGGUCCUGGCGCCCGU
Oryctolagus cuniculus (rabbit) is the source of this 135-nucleotide small nuclear RNA. NCBI's taxonomy places the organism in Eukaryota, Metazoa, Chordata, Mammalia, Lagomorpha, Leporidae. The record is from Ensembl.